This 56-nucleotide non-coding RNA is filed under the name Blattella germanica (German cockroach). The record is from RNAcentral. Lineage: Eukaryota; Metazoa; Arthropoda; Insecta; Blattodea; Blattellidae.
CCAGAGAGGAGAAAGACGAGCAUAUUUCAAGUUGCCAGUCUUACCCCUCUUUGUUU